Molecule: small RNA, 1861 nt
Filed under: Pan troglodytes (chimpanzee)
Lineage: Eukaryota; Metazoa; Chordata; Mammalia; Primates; Hominidae
Description: retained intron
Source: RNAcentral
CUGCCGCCCGCCCGGGGUGUGGAGCCCGGCCGCUGCUCGCGGGCUGAGUGUCUGUCGCUGCUGCCGCCUCCACCCAGCCUCCGCCAUGGACCUCUUCGGGGACCUGCCGGAGCCCGAGCGCUCGCCGCGCCCGGCUGCCGGGAAAGAAGCUCAGAAAGGACCCCUGCUCUUUGAUGACCUCCCUCCGGCCAGCAGUACUGACUCAGGUACAGUCUUCAGGCUCUCCCAGGUGUGUGUCAACGUCUCUACUCAUCCUGGGAUUGUAGUUGUCUCAAUCUUUUUCCCUUUCCCCCAUUUUCAACACACAGAUGUUUUAGGUGUUGGACUGUCUUUAAGUUUUGAAUCCAUGGCAUCAGGUAAGGCAGAAAAAUCUGCUAGUCGCUAGCCCUGAGAAGUACUGCGAGGAAAUGUGGAGCAGUUUUCUCUGGUUCAUUUGAGUAUUUAUUUUACUACCUGAAGUACAAUUUAACUUUUUAAGGCAGAUUUUUAUUUCCUUUGAAAUAAUAGGACUUUAAAAUAGGUUCAAGAUAUUAUUCAUUGCAGUAUGAGUUGCCACUGGAUUGACGCAAAGUUUUGAGUUUAUUUCAGUAACCUACAUAGGUGUCCUGGUGGGAUGGAUUCUGAAACUUAAGCCUUACAUAUUUUUUGUGGGCUCACUAAGUGUUCUGCUGUGUUUCAGGAUCAGGGGGACCUUUGCUUUUUGAUGAUCUCCCACCCGCUAGCAGUGGCGAUUCAGGUUCUCUUGCCACAUCAAUAUCCCAGAUGGUAAAGACUGAAGGGAAAGGAGCAAAGAGAAAAACCUCCGAGGAAGAGAAGAAUGGCAGUGAAGAGCUUGUGGAAAAGAAACCUCUUCGGUGAUCUUUGGUCUGAAGGGCUAUGUGGCUGAGCGGAAGGGUGAGAGGGAGGAGAUGCAGGAUGCCCACGUCAUUCUGAACGACAUCACCGAGGAGUGUAGGCCCCCAUCGUCCCUCAUUACUCGGGUUUCAUAUUUUGCUGUUUUUGAUGGACAUGGAGGAAUUCGAGCCUCAAAAUUUGCUGCACAGAAUUUGCAUCAAAACUUAAUCAGAAAAUUUCCUAAAGGAGAUGUAAUCAGUGUAGAGAAAACCGUGAAGAGAUGCCUUUUGGACACUUUCAAGCAUACUGAUGAAGAGUUCCUUAAACAAGCUUCCAGCCAGAAGCCUGCCUGGAAAGAUGGGUCCACUGCCACGUGUGUUCUGGCUGUAGACAACAUUCUUUAUAUUGCCAACCUCGGAGAUAGUCGGGCAAUCUUGUGUCGUUAUAAUGAGGAGAGUCAAAAACAUGCAGCCUUAAGCCUCAGCAAAGAGCAUAAUCCAACUCAGUAUGAAGAGCGGAUGAGGAUACAGAAGGCUGGAGGAAACGUCAGGGAUGGGCGUGUUUUGGGCGUGCUAGAGGUGUCACGCUCCAUUGGGGACGGGCAGUACAAGCGCUGCGGUGUCACCUCUGUGCCCGACAUCAGACGCUGCCAGCUGACCCCCAAUGACAGGUUCAUUUUGUUGGCCUGUGAUGGGCUCUUCAAGGUCUUUACCCCAGAAGAAGCCGUGAACUUCAUCUUGUCCUGUCUCGAGGAUGAAAAGAUCCAGACCCGGGAAGGGAAGUCCGCAGCCGACGCUCGCUACGAAGCAGCCUGCAACAGGCUGGCCAACAAGGCGGUGCAGCGGGGCUCAGCCGACAACGUCACUGUGAUGGUGGUGCGGAUAGGGCACUGAGGGGUGGCGCGCGGCCAGGAGCACGCAUGGUAUUGACUUAAAAGGUUCAUUUUGUGUGUGUGCACAUUGUGUGUUUUGUGUACUCCUGUGGGACUCCCAUGGUUGUAAAUAAAGGUUUCUCUUUUUUUUUCCUA